Non-coding RNA from Phrynosoma platyrhinos (Desert horned lizard), 71 nucleotides. The record is from the annotation of a GenBank genome assembly. NCBI's taxonomy places the organism in Eukaryota, Metazoa, Chordata, Lepidosauria, Squamata, Phrynosomatidae.
CCCAGCAUGGUGCAGUGGUUGCACAUUGGACUAUGAUGCUGGAGACCAGGGUUCAAUUCCCACCGCAGCCA